Molecule: non-coding RNA, 196 nt
Organism: Rhodococcus pyridinivorans SB3094
Lineage: Bacteria; Bacillati; Actinomycetota; Actinomycetes; Mycobacteriales; Nocardiaceae
Source: Rfam
CGUGGCAAGGCAAUCGAAGGUGCCCCUCACGGGGAUAAUCGGGAAGCCGGUGAGAAUCCGGCACAGGCCCGCUGCGGUGACCCGGGAGUCGUCGAUCACGCGCAUCCGCGCAGCCACUGGACCGUCCGGUCCGGGAAGGCGAUCGCACGGCGUCCGACCGGGAAGUCCGAAUACCGGCCUUCGAACAGCUUGCCGC